AGUGAACGCUGGCGGCAGGCCUAACACAUGCAAGUCGAGCGGCAGCGGGUUCCCGCGAGGGGAUGCCGGCGAGCGGCGGACGGGUGAGGAACACAUCGGAAUCUGCCUGGUUGUGGGGGAUAACGUAGGGAAACUUACGCUAAUACCGCAUGCGACCCUGAGUCGACGGACUGGGGGUGAAAGUGAGGGACCUUCGGGCCGUCACGCGACCAGAUGAGCCGAUGUCGGAUUAGCUAGUUGGCGGGGUAACGGCCCGCCAAGGCGACGAUCCGUAGCUGGUCUGAGAGGAUGAUCAGCCACACUGGGACUGAGACACGGCCCAGACUCCUACGGGAGGCAGCAGUGGGGAAUCUUGGACAAUGGGCGCAAGCCUGAUCCAGCCAUGCCGCGUGGG
This 394-nucleotide ribosomal RNA is filed under the name uncultured bacterium. RNAcentral's name for it is "bacterial SSU rRNA". It matches the Rfam family "Bacterial small subunit ribosomal RNA", at positions 30 to 405 of the family's 1533-position model. The record is from RNAcentral.